AGAGUUUGAUCAUGGCUCAGAGUGAACGCUGGCGGCAGGCCUAAUACAUGCAAGUCGAACGGCAGCACAGCAGAGCUUGCUCUGUGGGUGGCGAGUGGCGGACGGGUGAGGAAUACAUGGGAAUCUGCCCAGUCGUGGGGGAUAACGUAGGGAAACUUACGCUAAUACCGCAUGCGCCCUUCGGGGGAAAGCCGGGGACCUUCGGGCCUGGCGCGAUUGGAUGAGCCCAUGUCGGAUUAGCUAGUUGGCGGGGUAAUGGCCCACCAAGGCGACGAUCCGUAGCUGGUCUGAGAGGAUGAUCAGCCACACUGGAACUGAGACACGGUCCAGACUCCUACGGGAGGCAGCAGUAGGGAAUAUUGGACAAUGGGCGCAAGCCUGAUCCAGCCAUGCCGCGUGAGUGAAGAAGGCCCUCGGGUUGUAAAGCUCUUUUGUCCGGAAAGAAAAGCGCCGGGUUAAUACCCUGGUGUCCUGACGGUACCGGAAGAAUAAGCACCGGCUAACUUCGUG
This 510-nucleotide ribosomal RNA is filed under the name uncultured bacterium. RNAcentral describes it as "bacterial SSU rRNA". It matches the Rfam family "Bacterial small subunit ribosomal RNA", at positions 8 to 507 of the family's 1533-position model. The record is from RNAcentral.